RNAcentral lists this ribosomal RNA (497 nucleotides) under uncultured bacterium. Its description in RNAcentral is "partial 16S ribosomal RNA". It matches the Rfam family "Bacterial small subunit ribosomal RNA", at positions 28 to 507 of the family's 1533-position model. The record is from RNAcentral.
GAUGAACGCUGGCGGCGUGCCUAAUACAUGCAAGUCGAGCGAACAGACGAGGCUCUUGCUCCUGUGACGUUAGCGGCGGACGGGUGAGUAACACGUGGAUAACCUACCUAUAAGACUUGGAUAACUUCGGGAAACCGGAGCUAAUACCGGAUAACAUGUUGAACCGCAUGGUUCUACAGUGAAAGACGGUCUUUCUGUCAAUUCUAGAUGGAUCCGCGCCGCAUUAGCUAGUUGGUAAGGUAACGGCUUACCAAGGCAACGAUGCGUAGCCGACCUGAGAGGGUGAUCGGCCACCCUGGAACUGAGCCACGGUCCAGACUCCUACGGGAGGCAGCAGUAGGGAACCUUCCGCAAUGGGCGAAAGCCUGACGGAGCAACGCAGCGUGAGUGAAGAAGGUCUUCGGAUCGUAAAACUCUGUUAUUAGGGAAGAACAAAUGUGUAAGUAACUAUGCACGUCUUGACGGUACCUAAUCAGAAAGCCACGGCUAACUACGUG